Molecule: ribosomal RNA, 468 nt
Filed under: uncultured bacterium
Lineage: Bacteria
Description: partial 16S ribosomal RNA
Rfam family: Bacterial small subunit ribosomal RNA
Source: RNAcentral
GACGAACGCUGGCGGCGUGCUUAACACAUGCAAGUCGAACGGAAAGGUCCUGCCUUUGUGGGGUGCUCGAGUGGCGAACGGGUGAGUAACACGUGAGUUACCUGCCCCUGACUUUGGGAUAACUUCAGGAAACUGGGGCUAAUACCGGCUAGGAGCUACCGCCGCAUGGUGGGGGUUGGAAAGUUUCGACGGUUGGGGAUGGACUCGCGGCUUAUCAGCUUGUUGGUGGGGUAGUGGCUUACCAAGGCCUUGACGGGUAGCCGGCCUGAGAGGGUGACCGGCCACAUUAAGACGGAAAUACGACCCAGACUCCUACGGUAGGCAAGGGAGGAGAAUAUUACACAAUGGGCGGAAGCCUAAUGCGACAACGCCACGUGCGGGAUGUCAUCCUUGGGGUUGUGUUCCGCAUUCGCCUUUGACGAGACGUUAGUGACGGUAAUGGGUGAAGAAGCACCGGCUAACUACGUG